Long non-coding RNA from Ictalurus punctatus (channel catfish), 847 nucleotides. RefSeq lists it as uncharacterized. The record is from RefSeq and is a predicted model, not a curated record. The transcript is spliced from 2 exons. NCBI's taxonomy places the organism in Eukaryota, Metazoa, Chordata, Actinopteri, Siluriformes, Ictaluridae.
CACACACACACUCUCUCUGCAAGAGGAAUAAACUGCUGCAUGCUGAUUGGCUGAAAGUGAAAGUUAAUGAUUAAUUAUUCCCCUCUGUGUGUGUGAUCAAUAUAAACCGAGAUUUUUUCAGAGAAAGAAAACAGAAAGGCAAACAGCGAUCAGGCUGAGGGUUAAGGGCCUUGCUCAGGGGCCCAGCAGUGGCAGUUUGGUGAGUCUGGGAUUUGAACUCAUGACCUUCUGAUCACAUAAAAAAAAUAGAGCGGUGAAAAAACUUCUGAAAACAGAGCGGUGUAGAGUGUCGAGAGUGCAGUGUGUUAGGUCUGAGCAGUACGGUAUGAGACAGUAACACAAAAAUUGAAUUACUGAGUAUUAUUAUUAUUAUUAUUAUUAUUAUUAUUAUUAUUAUUAUUAUUAUUAUUAUUAUGAAAGCCUCUGUGCUUGUAUUGGAUUCCUCCUAAAAUCUCAAAUCUCACAGGAGUCCGCUGGUGUGAGAAAACAGCCAGGUGUGUGUGUGUGUGUGUGUGUGUGUGUGUGUGUGUGUGUGUGUGUGUGUGUGUGUGUGUGUGUGUGUGUGUGUGUGUGUGUGUGUGAGUGAGAGAGUGUGAAGCUUCGCACCUGGAAAGGUGACCGAGUGCUCAUUGGUUAGUGUAACACCCACACACACACACACACACACACACACAAAAUAAACAAAUAAACCUACAUCUGUGACCUUUGUAUUUCUUCACACUAAACCCUUUAAUCUGUCCAGCUGCUCCGUGUGUCUCGUGUACAGUCGUCUGUGAACAUUUAGUUUUGGGACAAACAGAACCUGAACAGAAUCAAUAACAAGAAUAAAUCUUAUAAAUGUUCACUA